RNAcentral lists this transfer RNA (86 nucleotides) under Prevotella sp. RNAcentral describes it as "tRNA-Leu". It matches the Rfam family "tRNA". From Rfam's summary of the family: Transfer RNA (tRNA) molecules are approximately 80 nucleotides in length. Their secondary structure includes four short double-helical elements and three loops (D, anti-codon, and T loops). Lineage: Bacteria; Pseudomonadati; Bacteroidota; Bacteroidia; Bacteroidales; Prevotellaceae. The record is from RNAcentral.
GCCGCAAUGGUGGAAUUGGUAGACACGAGGGACUUAAAAUCCCUUGACCCGGAAAGGUCGUGCGGGUUCGAGUCCCGCUCGCGGCA